AGACUUGCUCUUAUGUUCUGCGGCGGAGGGUGAGUACACGUGGGUACCUGCCCAUAAGACUGGGAUAACUCCGGGAAACCGGGGCUAAUACCGGAUAACAUUUUGAACUGCAUGGUUCGAAAUUGAAAGGCGGCUUCGGCUGUCACUUAUGGAUGGACCCGCGUCGCAUUAGCUAGUUGGUGAGGUAACGGCUCACCAAGGCAACGAUGCGUAGCCGACCUGANAGGGUGAUCGGCCACACUGGGNACUGANACACGGCCCAGACUCCUACGGGAGGCAGCAGUAGGGAAUCUUCCGCAAUGGACGAAAGUCUGACGGAGCAACGCCGCGUGAGUGAUGAAGGCUUUCGGGUCGUAAAACUCUGUUGUUAGGGAAGAACAAGUGCUAGUUGAAUAAGCUGGCACCUUGACGGUACCUAACCAGAAAGCCACGGCUAACUACGUGC
RNAcentral lists this ribosomal RNA (445 nucleotides) under Bacillus cereus. Its description in RNAcentral is "bacterial SSU rRNA". It matches the Rfam family "Bacterial small subunit ribosomal RNA", at positions 75 to 508 of the family's 1533-position model. The record is from RNAcentral. Lineage: Bacteria; Bacillati; Bacillota; Bacilli; Caryophanales; Bacillaceae.